RNAcentral lists this ribosomal RNA (400 nucleotides) under uncultured bacterium. RNAcentral describes it as "bacterial SSU rRNA". It matches the Rfam family "Bacterial small subunit ribosomal RNA", at positions 356 to 773 of the family's 1533-position model. The record is from RNAcentral.
GGGGAAUAUUGCACAAUGGAGGAAACUCUGAUGCAGCAACGCCACGUGAGUGAAGAAGGUUUUCGGAUUGUAAAGCUCUGUCAUCUGGGACGAUAAUGACGGUACCAGAUGAGGAAGCCACGGCUAACUACGUGCCAGCAGCCGCGGUAAUACGUAGGUGGCAAGCGUUGUCCGGAAUUACUGGGCGUAAAGGGUGCGCAGGCGGACAUUUAAGUGAGAUGUGAAAGACCCGGGCUUAACUUGGGCAGUGCAUUUCAAACUGGAUGUCUGGAGUGCAGGAGAGGAGAACGGAAUUCCUAGUGUAGCGGUGAAAUGCGUAGAGAUUAGGAAGAACACCAGUGGCGAAGGCGGUUCUCUGGACUGUAACUGACGCUGAGGCACGAAAGCGUGGGUAGCAAAC